GGGCAUAUGGCGAAAUUGGCAGACGCGCUAGCCUUAGGAGCUAGUGGAGCAAUCCGUGGGGGUUCAAGUCCCUCUAUGCCCA
This 82-nucleotide transfer RNA is filed under the name Bacteroidota bacterium. RNAcentral describes it as "Bacteroidetes bacterium (soil metagenome) tRNA-Leu". It matches the Rfam family "tRNA". Rfam says of the family: Transfer RNA (tRNA) molecules are approximately 80 nucleotides in length. Their secondary structure includes four short double-helical elements and three loops (D, anti-codon, and T loops). Further hydrogen bonds mediate the characteristic L-shaped molecular structure. tRNAs have two regions of fundamental functional importance: the anti-codon, which is responsible for specific mRNA codon recognition, and the 3' end, to which the tRNAs corresponding amino acid is attached (by aminoacyl-tRNA synthetases). tRNAs cope with the degeneracy of the genetic code in two manners: having more than one tRNA (with a specific anti-codon) for a particular amino acid; and 'wobble' base-pairing, i.e. permitting non-standard base-pairing at the 3rd anti-codon position. The record is from RNAcentral. Lineage: Bacteria; Pseudomonadati; Bacteroidota.